Molecule: ribosomal RNA, 180 nt
Filed under: Cryptosporidium parvum
Lineage: Eukaryota; Apicomplexa; Conoidasida; Eucoccidiorida; Cryptosporidiidae
Description: partial small subunit ribosomal RNA
Rfam family: Eukaryotic small subunit ribosomal RNA
Source: RNAcentral
UAGGGUUCGAUUCCGGANANGGAGCCUGANAAACGGCUACCACAUCUAAGGAAGGCAGCAGGCGCGCAAAUUACCCAAUCCUAAUACAGGGAGGUAGUGACAAGAAAUAACAAUACAGGACUUUUUGGUUUUGUAAUUGGAAUGAGUUAAGUAUAAACCCCUUUACAAGUAUCAAUUGGA